Molecule: ribosomal RNA, 955 nt
Filed under: Mycopepon smithii
Lineage: Eukaryota; Fungi; Ascomycota; Dothideomycetes
Description: SSU rRNA
Rfam family: Eukaryotic small subunit ribosomal RNA
Source: RNAcentral
UCGUUUAUUUGAUAGUACCUUACUACUUGGACAACCGUGGUAAUUCUAGAGCUAAUACAUGCUAAAAACCCCGACUCCGGGAGGGGUGUAUUUAUUAGAUAAAAAACCAAUGCCCUCCGGGGCUCUUUGGUGAUUCAUGAUAACUUAACGGAUCGCAUGGCCUUGCGCCGGCGACGGUUCAUUCAAAUUUCUGCCCUAUCAACUUUCGAUGGUAAGGUAUUGGCUUACCAUGGUCUCAACGGGUAACGGGAGAUUAGGGUUUGACUCCGGAGAGGGAGCCUGAGAAACGGCUACCACAUCCAAGGAAGGCAGCAGGCGCGCAAAUUACCCAAUCCCGACGCGGGGAGGUAGUGACAAUAAAUACUGAUACAGGGCUCUUUUGGGUCUUGUAAUUGGAAUGAGUACAAUUUAAACCCCUUAACGAGGAACAAUUGGAGGGCAAGUCUGGUGCCAGCAGCCGCGGUAAUUCCAGCUCCAAUAGCGUAUAUUAAAGUUGUUGCAGUUAAAAAGCUCGUAGUUGAAACUUGGGCCUGGCUGGCCGGUCCGCCUCACCGCGUGCACUGGCCCGGCCGGGCCUUUCCUCCUGGAGAGCCGCAUGCCCUUCACUGGGUGUGCCGGGGAACCAGGACUUUUACUUUGAAAAAAUUAGAGUGUUCAAAGCAGGCCUUUGCUCGAAUACGUUAGCAUGGAAUAAUAGAAUAGGACGUGCGGUUCUAUUUUGUUGGUUUCUAGGACCGCCGUAAUGAUUAAUAGGGAUAGUCGGGGGCAUCCGUAUUCAAUUGUCAGAGGUGAAAUUCUUGGAUUUAUUGAAGACGAACUACUGCGAAAGCAUUUGCCAAGGAUGUUUUCAUUAAUCAGUGAACGAAAGUUAGGGGAUCGAAGACGAUCAGAUACCGUCGUAGUCUUAACCGUAAACUAUGCCGACUAGGGAUCGGGCGAUGUUACUAUUCUGACU